Molecule: ribosomal RNA, 253 nt
Filed under: uncultured bacterium
Lineage: Bacteria
Description: partial 16S ribosomal RNA
Rfam family: Bacterial small subunit ribosomal RNA
Source: RNAcentral
UACAGAGGUCCCAAGCGUUGUUCGGAUUCACUGGGCGUAAAGGGUGCGUAGGUGGUCGGGUAAGUCUGAUGUGAAAUCUCUGGGCUCAACCCAGAAAUGGCAUUGGAUACUAUUCGGCUAGAGGAGUGGAGGGGGGACUGGAAUACUUGGUGUAGCAGUGAAAUGCGUAGAUAUCAAGUGGAACACCAGUGGCGAAGGCAGCUCGCUGGGACGUGACUGACGCUGAGACGCGAAAGCGUGGGGAGCAAACAGG